This is a non-coding RNA of Parelaphostrongylus tenuis, 72 nucleotides long. Lineage: Eukaryota; Metazoa; Nematoda; Chromadorea; Rhabditida; Metastrongylidae. The record is from the annotation of a GenBank genome assembly.
GGCCUUGGUGAUGUAAUGGUAGCAUACGCCUCUGGUAUAAGUGAAACGCAGGUUCAACUCUCGUCUAGGUCC